Molecule: long non-coding RNA, 3856 nt
Filed under: Homo sapiens (human)
Lineage: Eukaryota; Metazoa; Chordata; Mammalia; Primates; Hominidae
Description: non-protein coding lnc-RPP40-4:2
Source: RNAcentral
CCUCCCUCUGUUGCCCAGGAUGGACUGCAGUGGCGCAAUCUCGGCUCACUGCAACCUCCACCUCCUGGGUUCAAAUGAUUCUCCUGCCUCAGCCUCUUGAGUAGCUGGGAUUACAGGCAUGCGCCACCAUGCCUGGCUAGUUUUUUUUUGUUUCGUUUUUUUGUUUUUGUUUGUUUUUCUUUUUUUAGUAGAAACAGGGUUUCACCUUAUUGGCCAGGCUGGUCUCGAACUCCUGACCUCGUGAUCUCUCCACCUCAGCCUCCCAAAGUGCUGGGAUUACAGGCAUGGGCCACCACACCUGGCCUAAUUGGCUCACGUUUCUGCAGGCUGUGCAGGAAGCACAGUGGGCAUCUGCCUGGCUUCUGGGGAGGCCUCAGGAAAACUCAAUCAUGGCGGAAGGUGAAAGAGAAGCAUGGCCAGAGCAGGAGGGAGGGGUGUGGGAGGUACCACACACUUUUAAACAACCAGAUCUUGUGAGAAUUCUAUCACUAGAAGAGCACUAAAUGGGGGAAUCCACCCCCAUGAGCCAAUCACCUCCCACCAGGCCCCAACUCCAACACUGGGGAUUACAAUUUGACAUGAGAUUUGGGCAGGGACACAGACCCAAACCGUAUCACCCAGGAUUAAAGAAAGUUAUUUCAUACUGACAACACACACCUCAUAACAAAGCUUCAAAACACAUAAAGCAAGAACAACUAGAACUUCAAGGAGACAUAGAUCAACCCACUAUUAUCAGACGUUAAUACCCCACCCUCAAUAAUUGACAGAACAAGUAGGCAGAAAAUCAAUAAGAAUAAUAAAGUAGACUUCAGCAAUUUUAUCAAUCAACUUGACCCGAUUGACAUUUACAGGACAUUGCAUCUUACAAUAGCAGAAAAUUUUUCUUGAGAAAAUGGAGAAACAACUCAAUUUUGUUUCUUGAGAAAUAACUUGAGAAAAAUUUUUAGCUGUUCAAACAAAAAUCAUAGUACGGGAUUUAUAAUAUAUGUAAAAGUAAAGUGGGUUAAGAGUUUUUCGCAAGUACACAUGGAACAUUUAUAGAGAUGGACUACAUUAUAGACCAUUUAAAAAGUCUCAAAUUCAAAACAUUUGUCACAUAAAGUAUGUUGUCUGGCCACAACGGAAUUAAAUUAGAAAUCAAUAGCAGAAACUAGAAAAGAGAAAAACUCAAAGUAAGCAGAAGAAAAGGAAUAAUAAAGGUCAAAGUGGGACUUAAUGAAAUUUUUAAAAUAGAGAAAAAUGAAUGAAUCAAAAUUUGGGGAGUUUGGGGGGGAAAUUUUUUUAAAUUGAGAAAUCUCCAGCCAGGUACAUAUAUCAGGGAAAAAAGAAACAAGACACAAGUUACCAAUACUAGGAAUGAGAGAGGUGGCAUCACUGAAGAGCCUACAGAUAGAAAAGGAUAGUAAGGAAAUAUUAGGAACACCUUUAUAGCAAUAAAUUCAACAUAGAUGAAAUUGACAAAUCCUUUGAAAGGCACAAAUUACCAAAGCUCACCCAAGAAGAAGUAGAUGAUCUGAAUAGCCCUAUAUCUGUUAAAGAAGUUGAAAUUACAGUUUAAAAACAUGUAACGAAAAUCUAGGGCUAGGCGUGGUGGCUCGCACCUGUAUUCCCAGCAUGUUGGGAAGUUGAGGUGGGAGGAUCACUUGAAGCCAGGAGUUCAAGGACAGACUGGACAACAUAGCGAGAUUCCAAAAAAAAAAAAAAAAAAAUUAGCCAGGCAUGGUAGCACAUGCCUGUAGUCCUAGCUACUUGAGAGGCUGAGGCAGGAUGAUUGCUUGAGCCUAGGAAUUGAAGGCUGCGGUGAGCAAUGAUCACACCACUGCACUCCAGCCUGGCUGACAAAUCAAGGCCCUGACUCAAAGAAAGGGAGAGAAGGAGAGAGAGAGGAAGAAAUAUUUUCCACCUCAUUAUCUGAGGCCAGAAUUAUCCUAGUGCCAAAAUUAUCCUAGGACCCUGGCCAAACAAACAUGCUACCAGGAAAGAAAACUACAGAUCAACAUUUCUCAUGAACAUAGGGUAAAAUUCUAAGCCAGUUUAUCAAAUUGAGUCCUACAAGAUAAGAAACAGGUAAUAAAACAUGAUCAAGAGGGAAUAUCCAAGGAGUGUAGGGUUGACUUAACAUUUGAAAAAUCAAUCAAUAUAAUUCAUUGUAUAAACAAGCUAAAAAAGAAUAAUCAUAUAAUCAAUCAAUACAGAAAGGCAUUUGACAAAAUCCAGCAUUCAUUACUGAUAAUCAAGAAGGUUAGGAAUAAACAACACUUCUUCAAUCUGAUCAAGGGCAUCUACAAAAACCCUACAGCUAACAUCACACUUAAUUGUGAAAGACAAUAUUCCCCACCUUCCCAACGUCAGGAACAAAUCAGGGAUGCCUGCUUUUACCGCCUCUGUUCAACAUUGUACUGAAGGCUUUAGACUGUGCAAUCAGAGAACAAACAGAAAUAAUGGACAUCCAGGUUGGAAAGAAAGAAAGAAAAAUGUAUUCACAGAUGACAUGAUUAUUUAUGCAAAAUUCAGCGGACUCUACAAAUGAGCUACUAGAACAAAUAAGUGAGUUUGUCAAGGUUGCAGGAUACAGAGUAGUGUACAAAAAUCAGUUGUAUAUGGUAGCAAUGAAAAAUUGAUAAUUGAAACAAAAAAUCAACAUUUGCAAUCACAUAAACAAUACUACCUUUGCAAUAGCAUAAAUACCUGGGAUAAGUCUGACCAAAAAAAUGAGAAAAAUACUGUACACUGAAAACUACAAAAUACUGAUAUGAUAAAGAGACCUAAAUAGAUGAUAUACCUUGUUCAUGGGUCAGAAGACUCAAUAUUGUGAAGAUGUCAUGUCAUAUUCCCAAAAUAUAGAUUCAAUAUAGAUUUAAUACAAUCACAAUCAAAAUCCCAGCAGCCUAUGUGUGUGUGUGUGUGUGUGUAAAAUGACAAACUGAUUCUAAAAUGUUUGUAGAACUUCAAAGGACCUAGAGUAGCCAAACAACUUCACAAAAGAAGAACCAAGUUAGACGACUAAUAUUACUAGAUUUUUAAGGAGUUAUUCUAAAGCAACAGUAAUCAAGACAGUGUGGUAUUGACAUGAAGGAUAUACCAAUAGAUCAAUGAUAUAGGAUUUGUGUCCAGAAUGUAAAGUACUUUCAAAACUCAGCAAUAAGAAAACAAACAAACCAAAUGGAAAAUGAAGGAAAGACAUCAACAGACAUUUUACCAAAGAGUCCACUUAAACUGCAAAUAAAUGAGUGAAAAGAUGUUCUAACAUCAUUAACCAUUAGGAAAAAGGCAACUUAAAAUCAUGAUAUCACUAACUCCUAUUAGAAUGGUUACAAAGGCAAAUUAAAAUCAUGAUAUCACUAACUCCUAUUAGAAUGGUAAAAGAUAGUGAUAACAUCAAAUUCUGACAACUAUGCUGAAAAACUUUAUCUCCCGUAUAUUACUGGCAGUAAUGUAUAAUUUCACAGCCAUUCAGAAAAAUACCUCCCAGUUUACUUAUAAAAGAAAACAUGAAAUUACCAUAUGAUCCAGUAAUUUCACUCUUGGGCAUUUAUCCUGGGAAAUGAACUUAUGUUCACACAAAAACCCAUACUCAAAUGUUCAUAGCAGCUUUAUGUGUAAUGAGCAAGACCUAGGAAAAAAACAAAUGUCCUUCAGUGCGUGAAUGGUUAAGCAAAUUGUGAUCCAUGAAAUACUGCUUAACAAUAAAAAGGAGCAAGUUAUUAACACACCCAAUAACUUGGAAGGAUCUCAAGGGAAUUAUAUGGAGUGAAAAAAAACCCAGACCAAAAAGUUACUAUUGUAUGAUUCCAUUUAUAUAACAUCCUUGAAAUGAAAAAAUUGUAGAAAUGGAGACCAGAUUAGUGGUUGCCUG